CAGCAGCCGCGGGAAUACGUAGGGUGCGAGCGUUAAUCGGAAUUACUGGGCGUAAAGCGUGCGCAGGCGGUUUUGUAAGACAGGCGUGAAAUCCCCGGGCUCAACCUGGGAAUGGCGCUUGUGACUGCAAAGCUAGAGUGCGGCAGAGGGGGAUGGAAUUCCGCGUGUAGCAGUGAAAUGCGUAGAUAUGCGGAGGAACACCGAUGGCGAAGGCAAUCCCCUGGGCCUGCACUGACGCUCAAGCACGAAAGCGUGGGGAGCAAACAGGAUUAGAUACCCCAGUAGUCCCUGUCUCUUAUAC
Molecule: ribosomal RNA, 301 nt
Filed under: uncultured bacterium
Lineage: Bacteria
Description: partial 16S ribosomal RNA
Rfam family: Bacterial small subunit ribosomal RNA
Source: RNAcentral